GACGGAGGAUGCAAGUGUUAUCCGGAAUCACUGGGCGUAAAGCGUCUGUAGGUGGUUCGAAAAGUCCACUGUUAAAAAUUGAGGCUUAACUUCAAAGAUGCCGUGGAAACUUUCAAACUAGAGUAUGGUAGGGGUAGAGGGAAUUUCCAGUGGAGCGGUGAAAUGUGUAGAUAUUGGAAAGACCACCGAUGGCGAAGGCACUCUACUGGGCCAUUACUGACACUGAGAGACGAAAGCUAGGGGAGCAAAUGGG
Molecule: ribosomal RNA, 253 nt
Filed under: uncultured bacterium
Lineage: Bacteria
Description: partial 16S ribosomal RNA
Rfam family: Bacterial small subunit ribosomal RNA
Source: RNAcentral